CCACCCCAGCCUCACCAGGUCAGGAGCCCAGAGAGAGUCCUGUCUGGAGAGGAUCUACUCAGGCAGACCAGCCUAAGGACUCACAGACAGCAUCCUUACUUCCUCUCCCAGAAUGAGAGCUCAGCCCAGACAAGAAAGGUAGCCCUGUGGAGGUGGAAAAGGCCCCAGGGCUGCUCUGGUCAGCCUCCGAAUGCAGACUUUGAAAAGCACAGCAGAGGGGCCGUGGCCCGCAUAUUGAUCGCUCACUCGCUUCCUCUGUCACCGAGUCACUCACCAAUCAGGCAGGACACCUUCCAGCCACCAGGUUCCAGAUGCCAUCAGGAUGCCGGCAGACUUCCCUGGACUGAAGACCCCACCAAUGUGUCCUAGAGCUCUGCUUCACCAGAGACCCACCCUACUAGGGAAAGAGAGAGGCAGACUGGGAGUAUGGAUCCACCAGUCAACGUCCAUGUUCAGUGGGGAAGC
Molecule: long non-coding RNA, 465 nt
Organism: Erinaceus europaeus (western European hedgehog)
Lineage: Eukaryota; Metazoa; Chordata; Mammalia; Eulipotyphla; Erinaceidae
Exons: 4
Source: RefSeq, a predicted model, not a curated record